CCUGUGAAUCUGCCGUCCAGUAAUUUGCUUGUUUAUCUAUUAAGCUUUGCCUUUCUUCAUCCCUCCUGUUUGGAGCAAGAGAAGCUCCACUGCACCACCGCAGUAGGGGAGUUGGACUGGAUGGCCUUUAAAUGUUCCUUCCAACUCAAAUGAUUCCAGAUCCUGGCAGCUUGAAGUCCCUGUGGCUGUGCAGCACAGUUUUGCCUCCUUGAAGAAGGAAGAGCAAUGUGAGAGAACUGGAGCCGCCAACCCAGUGCCCUGCAG
Long non-coding RNA from Tympanuchus pallidicinctus (lesser prairie-chicken), 264 nucleotides. RefSeq lists it as uncharacterized. Lineage: Eukaryota; Metazoa; Chordata; Aves; Galliformes; Phasianidae. The transcript is spliced from 3 exons. The record is from RefSeq and is a predicted model, not a curated record.